UACAGAGGGUGCGAGCGUUAAUCGGAAUUACUGGGCGUAAAGCGUGCGUAGGCGGUCGUGUAAGUCGGGUGUGAAAGCCCCGGGCUCAACCUGGGAAUUGCAUUCGAGACUGCACGGCUGGAGUGCGGAAGAGGGAAGCGGAAUUUCCGGUGUAGCGGUGAUAUGAGUAGAUAUCGGAAGGAACAUCAGUGGCGAAAGCGGCUUCCUGGUCCACCACUGACGCUCAGGCACGACAGCGUGGGGAGCAGACAGG
Molecule: ribosomal RNA, 253 nt
Filed under: uncultured bacterium
Lineage: Bacteria
Description: partial 16S ribosomal RNA
Rfam family: Bacterial small subunit ribosomal RNA
Source: RNAcentral